CGCUGCGGACAGCUCAGUAACACGUGGUUAACCUACCCUUGGGACGGAAACAUCCCCGGGAAACUGGGGUUAAUUUCCGAUAGGUGAAGAUCCUGGAAUGGGUCUUCGCUCAAAGGGAGCUUAGAUCAUGCUUCUAGGCCUGCCCAAGGAUGGGACCGCGGUCGAUCAGGUUGUUGGUGAGGUAACGGCUCACCAAGCCUUUAACCGGUAUGGGCCGUGAGAGCGGGAGCCCGGAGAUGGGCACUGAGACAAGGGCCCAGGUCCUACGGGGCGCAGCAGUCGCGAAAACUUCGCAAUACACGAAAGUGUGACGGGGCUAUCCCGAGUGCCGUCCGCUGAGGAUGGCUUUUCUCCAAUGUAGAUAGUUGGGGGAAUAAGGAGAGGGCAAGUCUGGUGUCAGCCGCCGCGGUAAUACCAGCUCUCCGAGUGGUAGGGAUGUUUAUUGGGCCUAAAGCAUCCGUAGCCGGCUGGGCGAGUUCCCUGUGAAAUCCAGCGACUAAUCGUUGGCUUGCAGGGGGUACUGCCCGGCUAGGGGGCGGGAGAGGCCGAUGGUAUUCUCGGGGUAGGGGUGAAAUCCUAUAAUCCCGAGAGGACCACCAGUGGCGAGGGCUGUCGGCUAGAACGCGCUCGACGGUGAGGGAUGAAAGCUGGGGGAGCGAACCGGAUUAGAUACCCGGGUAGUCCCAGCUGUAAACGAUGCAGGCUAGGUGUUAGGGCGGCUACGUGCCGCUCUAGUGCCGCAGGGAAGCCGUUAAGCCUGCCGCCUGGGAUACCGCCGGCUGAACUUAAAGGCCA
Molecule: ribosomal RNA, 795 nt
Filed under: uncultured soil archaeon
Lineage: Archaea
Description: bacterial SSU rRNA
Rfam family: Archaeal small subunit ribosomal RNA
Source: RNAcentral